RNAcentral lists this ribosomal RNA (752 nucleotides) under uncultured bacterium. RNAcentral's name for it is "bacterial SSU rRNA". It matches the Rfam family "Bacterial small subunit ribosomal RNA", at positions 8 to 796 of the family's 1533-position model. The record is from RNAcentral.
AGAGUUUGAUCAUGGCUCAGAACGAACGCUGGCGGCAUGCCUAACACAUGCAAGUCGAACGGUGUUCCCGCUUCGGUGGGGGCAUAGUGGCGCACGGGUGAGUAACGCGUGGGAACCUGCCCUGUGGUACGGAACAACUCCGGGAAACUGGAGCUAAUACCGUAUGCGUCCUGCGGGACAAAGAUUUAUCGCCAUGGGAGGGGCCCGCGUAGGAUUAGCUUGUUGGCGGGGUAACGGCCCACCAAGGCUACGAUCCUUAGCUGGUCUGAGAGGAUGAUCAGCCACACUGGGACUGAGACACGGCCCAGACUCCUACGGGAGGCAGCAGUGGGGAAUAUUGGACAAUGGGCGCAAGCCUGAUCCAGCAAUGCCGCGUGAGUGAUGAAGGCCUUCGGGUUGUAAAGCUCUUUCGCACGCGACGAUGAUGACGGUAGCGUGAGAAGAAGCCCCGGCUAACUUCGUGCCAGCAGCCGCGGUAAUACGAAGGGGGCUAGCGUUGUUCGGAAUUACUGGGCGUAAAGGGCGCGUAGGCGGUGCAUCAAGUCAGGCGUGAAAGCCCCGGGCUCAACCUGGGAACCGCGCUUGAGACUGGUGGGCUAGAGUUCGGGAGAGGAUGGUGGAAUUCCCAGUGUAGAGGUGAAAUUCGUAGAUAUUGGGAAGAACACCGAUGGCGAAGGCAGCCAUCUGGACCGACACUGACGCUGAGGCGCGAAAGCGUGGGGAGCAAACAGGAUUAGAUACCCUAGUAGUCC